CUCUUAGGUCCUUUCUAAGAUUCUAUGGAAUCUAAUAAUGUAACAUCCAUCUUACAUUUAUUAGACUUAUGCUUUUUAACAGUCCCAACAAAUGGUUUUCAUAAUUACAUGUAACCACAGACACAUGUAAUUAUGUCUGUGUGGGGAGUACAGUUCUACCAAGGCUGCAUUUCUCCUGCUUGAUUCUCUAUCAGGACAGAACUGCCGUAUAGCACACGUAGAUGGAGCUGGACACCAACCAGUAACCAAGACGACAAGCCUGUACCCUGAAGCCUCUUCUCCUUUUAAUAUCUCUGCAUUGCACAGAGUCCUGAAAGGUUUUUAGAAGGUGGUGUGAGCCCCAUAAGAAAGGCGUUUCAUCACAUUUUCUGAUGUGAUGCUGUCGAAGUCCUCAGAGGUUUACAAGGCAGGCAGUUCUACAGCGUAGCAGCUAACAAGGAUAAAGAAUGAACACAGCCUAGAAGUGGAACCUGGGAAACAUGGGAUCUAGUUCCAGCUCUACUGCUGUGGAUUUAUUCAAGCUUCUUCACCUUUGUACUUCAUUCAUUUCUCCAUGACCCUCCAGAGUUUGCAUCCUCCUCGUAUUUGUGGGGAUUCUGAUGCUCUGUAUUUCACAGAGAGGUACCACAACGAUCACAUUAAACGACAUUUGCAGAAUCAUGCCUUCUACAAAACAA
Molecule: long non-coding RNA, 677 nt
Organism: Balaenoptera acutorostrata (minke whale)
Lineage: Eukaryota; Metazoa; Chordata; Mammalia; Artiodactyla; Balaenopteridae
Exons: 3
Source: RefSeq, a predicted model, not a curated record